CCUACGGGAGGCAGCAGUGGGGAAUAGUGGGCAAUGGGCGCAAGCCUGACCCAGCAACGCCGCGUGAAGGAAGAAGGCUUUCGGGGUGUAAACUUCGUUUAAGAGGGAAGAGCAGAAGACGGUACCUCUGGAAUAAGACACGGCUAACGACGAGCCAGCAGCCGCGGUAAUACGUAGGUGGCAAGCGUUGUCCGGAUUUACUGGGUGUAAAGGGCGUGCAGCCGGGAAGACAAGUCAGAUGUGAAAUCCCGCGGCGCAACCGCGGAACUGCAUUUGAAACUGUUUUUCUUGAGUACCGGAGAGGUCAUCGGAAUUCCUUGUGUAGCGGUGAAAUGCUUAGAUAUCAGGAAGAACCCCAGUGGCGAAGGCGGUUGACUGGACGGCAACUGACGGUGAGGCGCGAACGCGUGGGGAGCAAACAGGAUUAGAUACCCCGGUAGUC
RNAcentral lists this ribosomal RNA (442 nucleotides) under uncultured bacterium. Its description in RNAcentral is "partial 16S ribosomal RNA". It matches the Rfam family "Bacterial small subunit ribosomal RNA", at positions 338 to 795 of the family's 1533-position model. The record is from RNAcentral.